GUUUGAGGUUGCAGAAGAUAAACAACAAGAGGCUGAUCGUGUUCUAGAAAUCUAUUUGAAGAAAAGGGUGAGCGACGUGAUGUAUCAAGCACAUGUGGAUUCUGUAAAGGUGUACUAUGCGAAACGAGAUCAGAUACUCGAUGAUACACUAGCCUGCCCAAUAGAGAUUGAGUAUGGACAAUACUUGGAUGGCUGGCUCAAGUGGUGCGAUGAUGAGGUGUGGCCUAAACUCUACCGUUAUUGGUGCUCAGAAGAAUUCAAAAGAAAACAAAAGAGAGGGCAGGCCUGUCGCUAGAGUUGUGAAGAUUCUGCUCAAAAUCGUGGAGGCUCAAGACCGUUUACAGAGACACAACAAGUUCUGAAAGCUAGGUUUGGACCAGAGAAGGCAACCCCUCUUAAUGUAUAUGUUGUGAUGAAAUUUGGCACAAAUGGUGUUGAUAGCAAUGGUAGUAUUGGUCCAAUCAGGAGCCGCAAAGUGCAAAAACGUGUGGAUGACUACAUUGCAGGUGUUAGGAGCAUUGCACAGACAGAAGAUGAGGAUGAAAAUCAUGAGGGCAUGGGAGUGGAAGAUGAAGAGCAAGGGGAAGAGCAGCAGCCGCGGCGGCUGGAGCUGGAGCAGCAGCCACAGUUGAAUGGGAAGGUGUUGUAUGAUAUGUCUGGUAGCACACCACAUGGGCGUUUUCCUAUAGGAAAUGGUGCUGUAAUAAAUUGGGAAACUAUAUGCACAUAUAGUUACUAUAGAAACUAAUUGUAACUUUGUGGUAUUCAGAAUGGCAACACACAGCUGCAGCUGUGAGGAAGUGGCCUCUUGUUGAUUCUAGCAUAUCAUCUGGACUUAACUUGCAUUAGUUCAGAUAUCAUGGUAAGGCAACUGGUUCCUCGCAUGUUGGCUCGGAGUCCGCUAACAUCAUGGAUGUUAAUGACCACAAUGGUGAGGACCUCGGCGGCACAAAUAUUGUUAACAUUCAUGGCAGCAACCAACAUAGUGAAAACAAUGCCUUGUGUGAUGAUGCAGCUUGAUAAGAGUAGAAGCAAUGCAUUGU
Molecule: RNA transcript, 1043 nt
Organism: Panicum virgatum (switchgrass)
Lineage: Eukaryota; Viridiplantae; Streptophyta; Magnoliopsida; Poales; Poaceae
Exons: 4
Source: RefSeq, a predicted model, not a curated record